This 781-nucleotide long non-coding RNA is filed under the name Olea europaea subsp. europaea. The record is from RNAcentral. Lineage: Eukaryota; Viridiplantae; Streptophyta; Magnoliopsida; Lamiales; Oleaceae.
UUUAAACUUAUAUGUAAUUGUAACUUUUAUCUUGACCAAGUUCUGACGAUCGUUACUACCCCUUGCCUUUUUCCACACUAUAUUCCCUUUUGGUAUUUUUAAGCUAUUCAACACGUUAACAUUACCUUCAAAAUAAUACAUAACGUGUGUUGUACUAGCAAAAUACUAGAAUGUGUGUGGGGAACACUUUCCCAUUUCCCAAAGUUUGCAAAAGUCAAACGAAUAAUUGACAAUAAUAAUUUACGAAACAGUCUAACAAAGUCCUGCGUGUUAUAACUACCAGUUCCUUCCUCCAUUAAGGCAUUUUACAUUCACCAACAUGCUUUGCCAUCCAAUCUAGAAUUGAAAGACAUUGAAUCAGAGAUUACCGAAUAUCAAUUACCAAAAGUUAAGUAAAUCUUGAUUUGAGAAAUAUCAACUCUUCUAACGAGGGCGAAAACUCUAUUAAGUUUUGCAACUAUGAAUGUAAGCUAGGUCACAAGUUGACUUGAAUACAGAAUUACAAGUUGACUUAUAAACUUCUUUAAGAUACACACCUAUGGAGUACAAGUUUGAUCAUGUUGUUUGCAGCAAGACCGUAAUUUACAAGGAGAAGGACCAUGUUUUCCAUGGUUGCAUCGUGGAGUAGGUUCGACUUGCCACCGUCGGCAUCUACUGGAAUGAUAUUUCAAUGACAUUGCAGCUGUAAUAGCAGCAUGGGGAAGGAAAGCACAAAAGUUGGUUUUUCCAUUUUCAUAGAUUCGGAUAGACUAUGGAUUCAAACAAUUUCUUUCGUACUCUG